UACGAAGGGGGCUAGCGUUGCUCGGAAUUACGGGGCGGAAAGCGCGCGUAGGCGGGUCGUUAAGUCGGGGGUGAAAUCCUGGAGCUCAACUCCAGAACUGCCUUCGAUACUGGCGAUCUUGAGUCCGGGAGAGGUGAGUGGAACUCCGAGUGUAGAGGUGAAAUUCGUAGAUAUUCGGAAGAACACCAGUGGCGAAGGCGGCUCACUGGCCCGGUACUGACGCUGAGGUGCGAAAGCGUGGGGAGCAAACAGG
This 253-nucleotide ribosomal RNA is filed under the name uncultured bacterium. Its description in RNAcentral is "partial 16S ribosomal RNA". It matches the Rfam family "Bacterial small subunit ribosomal RNA", at positions 524 to 776 of the family's 1533-position model. The record is from RNAcentral.